GGCUGGUCCAGUGGUAGCAGGUUAUCAGCACUUACCAACAUUAGUAUCAUUAAAGUUGGUAUACAACCACCUCACUGCUAAAUUUAACUGGCUUAA
This 96-nucleotide non-coding RNA is filed under the name Nomascus leucogenys (northern white-cheeked gibbon). The record is from RNAcentral. Lineage: Eukaryota; Metazoa; Chordata; Mammalia; Primates; Hylobatidae.